RNAcentral lists this long non-coding RNA (1352 nucleotides) under Sarcophilus harrisii (Tasmanian devil). Its description in RNAcentral is "lncRNA (ENSSHAG00000031692.1)". Lineage: Eukaryota; Metazoa; Chordata; Mammalia; Dasyuromorphia; Dasyuridae. The record is from RNAcentral.
UCUCCUUUUCAGGGGGACCUGCUGCUAGUGAGGAAAAAAGAGGAGAAAUUCCCUUAGUUAAAAAUUCACCCCCGAGAGGGAAAUCCGGGUUACUAGGCUGGGAACUGUGUAGCUGGCCUCCUGACUUUCUGACUUUUCAGCCUCUAUCUAUAAAUCUGCCAGAAGGCAAGUUGACUUUCCUGGAGCUGUGUAAAGAAAGCUUGAGAGCUGGCCGAGUGAGAGUUUGGAAAGAACAUCUGCCCAAGGACAGGGGUUGAAGCAACACCGAAGCCGUCCCAUUAAAACACAGAGAUAUCUCAGGGAGGCCAGUGGCACACAGAGCCAGGGUGGAAUUUCCUAUUAUUUCCAAGAGCUCGGAGGACCACUGAAUUGACCACAAUGACUGCAUAGUGCUCACAUCUUAGUGAAACUGGCUAAAAAGCUCUGCUGGCUUCGAUGUGGCUCAUGUUUAAAAUCAUCUGAUAUCUGGAGGCAUCUCCAACUCAACACGUCGCAAACGGAACUCGGUGGCCUCCCUCUCCGACCCCCAUACUGCCCCCUUUCCUGCACUCUCCGAUUUCUAGAGAGAACACAGCCAUUGCCCGCCCUCUGGAGUUUGUAACCUUGGAGUCAUCCUCACCUUCUCAUUCUUCCUCACUUCACAUAUCCAAAGUUAUCAAAUCUUGCUUCUUCUGCCUCUAGAACAUCUCUCCAAUUGGCCUCUUUUGCUCCCAACGCAAUCAUCACUUUAGUUUAGCACCCAACCAUGUCUUGCCUGGUCUCCUAAUAGGUCAGCCUCAAUGUCUUUCUAUUCCAAUUUCUCUGUCACACAGAUCUGACCAUUCUGCUCCCCUCUCCGAGAAACUGCAGUGGUUCCCUCUCAGCCUAGGAUAAAACAGAAACUUCUCUUGAAGUUCUUUAUGACUUGUCCCAAUCUGUCUUUUUUUUUUUUUUUUCCUCAUUAUUUCCCUUCCCAGCCUGGCCCUCCAUCUUGGUCAUCUCUUAUCCAUGGAGUGCAUUUCUUCUUCAUAGCUACAGUGAAGAAUUACUUCCUUCCUUCAAGACAGUUUAAGACCCAUCUCCUCAAAGCCAAGCCGAUCCCCCGGAUUGCGAGUGCCCUGUGUCUUCCUGAAUGACCUUAUUUUUAACUAACUUCUUUUAUUUGCUAUUUAAUCUUUACAUACUUAUAUGUUACCUAAACAAAUAUAAUGUAUAUAUUACAUAAAAUAAUUGUAGGGGUACAUUAAAUCAGAGAAUGGUAUGAUGGAAAGAGAAGAUGGGCUGGCUCCUUAUAUUGUAUGAAUGAGGAUAACAAGGGCAUGGCCCAGAAUGCUCUACUGGUAGCCUCAUGAUUUUGGGAGAAAGUGAGCAAG